UACGGAGGGUGCAAGCGUUAUCCGGAUUCACUGGGCUUAAAGGGUGCGUAGGUGGGUUGGUAAGUCAGUGGUGAAAUCUCCGGGCUUAACCUGGAAACUGCCAUUGAUACUAUCAAUCUUGAAUACCUUGGAGGUGAGCGGAAUAUGUCAUGUAGCGGUGAAAUGCUUAGAUAUGACAUAGAACACCAAUUGCGAAGGCAGCUCACUACACGGUCAUUGACACUGAGGCACGAAAGCGUGGGGAUCAAACAGG
This 253-nucleotide ribosomal RNA is filed under the name uncultured bacterium. RNAcentral describes it as "partial 16S ribosomal RNA". It matches the Rfam family "Bacterial small subunit ribosomal RNA", at positions 524 to 776 of the family's 1533-position model. The record is from RNAcentral.